RNAcentral lists this ribosomal RNA (807 nucleotides) under Acinetobacter nectaris. RNAcentral's name for it is "bacterial SSU rRNA". It matches the Rfam family "Bacterial small subunit ribosomal RNA", at positions 72 to 874 of the family's 1533-position model. The record is from RNAcentral. Lineage: Bacteria; Pseudomonadati; Pseudomonadota; Gammaproteobacteria; Moraxellales; Moraxellaceae.
AUUGUAGCUUGCUACAUGACCUAGCGGCGGACGGGUGAGUAAUACUUAGGAAUCUGCCUAUUAGUGGGGGACAACGUUCCGAAAGGAGCGCUAAUACCGCAUACGCCCUACGGGGGAAAGCAGGGGAUCUUCGGACCUUGCGCUAAUAGAUGAGCCUAAGUCGGAUUAGCUAGUUGGUAGGGUAAAGGCCUACCAAGGCGACGAUCUGUAGCGGGUUUGAGAGGAUGAUCCGCCACACUGGGACUGAGACACGGCCCAGACUCCUACGGGAGGCAGCAGUGGGGAAUAUUGGACAAUGGGCGAAAGCCUGAUCCAGCCAUGCCGCGUGUGUGAAGAAGGCCUUAUGGUUGUAAAGCACUUUAAGCGAGGAGGAGGCUUACCUAGAUAAUACCUAGGAUAAGUGGACGUUACUCGCAGAAUAAGCACCGGCUAACUCUGUGCCAGCAGCCGCGGUAAUACAGAGGGUGCAAGCGUUAAUCGGAAUUACUGGGCGUAAAGCGCGCGUAGGUGGCCAUUUAAGUCAAAUGUGAAAUCCCCGAGCUUAACUUGGGAAUUGCAUUCGAUACUGGGUGGCUAGAGUAUAGGAGAGGAAGGUAGAAUUCCAGGUGUAGCGGUGAAAUGCGUAGAGAUCUGGAGGAAUACCGAUGGCGAAGGCAGCCUUCUGGCCUAAUACUGACACUGAGGUGCGAAAGCAUGGGGAGCAAACAGGAUUAGAUACCCUGGUAGUCCAUGCCGUAAACGAUGUCUACUAGCCGUUGGGUCCUUUGAGGACUUAGUGGCGCAGCUAACGCGAUAAGUAGACCGCCU